UUGGAGGGCAAGUCUGGUGCCAGCAGCCGCGGUAAUUCCAGCUCCAAUAGCGUAUAUUAAAGUUGUUGCAGUUAAAAAGCUCGUAGUUGAAUUUCGGGGUUAGUAGGUUGGUCAUGCCUCUGGUAUGUACUGGUCUCACUGAUUCCUCCUUCCUGAUGAGCCGUAAUGCCAUUAAUUUGGUGUUGCGGGGAAUUUGGACUGUUACUUUGAAAAAAUUAGAGUGUUUAAAGCAAGCUAACGCUUGAAUACAUUAGCAUGGAAUAAUGAAAUAGGACGUUCGAUCCUAUUUUGUUGGUUUCUAGGAUUGACGUAAUGAUUAAUAGGGAUAGUUGGGGGCAUUAGUAUUCAAUUGUCAGAGGUGAAAUUCUUGGAUUUAUUGAAGACUAACUACUGCGAAAGCAUUUGCCAAGGAUGUUUUCAUUAAUCAAGAACGAAAGUUAGGGGAUCGAAGACGAUCAGAUACCGUCGUAGUCUUAACCAUAAACUAUGCCGACUAGGGAUCGGAUGAUGUAAUUUUAA
RNAcentral lists this ribosomal RNA (519 nucleotides) under uncultured Glomus. Its description in RNAcentral is "SSU rRNA". It matches the Rfam family "Eukaryotic small subunit ribosomal RNA", at positions 548 to 1071 of the family's 1831-position model. Lineage: Eukaryota; Fungi; Glomeromycota; Glomeromycetes; Glomerales; Glomeraceae. The record is from RNAcentral.